This 647-nucleotide long non-coding RNA is filed under the name Salmo salar (Atlantic salmon). Its description in RNAcentral is "lncRNA (ENSSSAG00000094104.1)". The record is from RNAcentral. Lineage: Eukaryota; Metazoa; Chordata; Actinopteri; Salmoniformes; Salmonidae.
CUAACAUAACCUAACUUUAUGCUUUCGCCGUAAAGCCUCUUUGAAAUCGGACAAUGUGGUUGGAUUUAAGAGAUGUUUAUCUUUCAAAUGGUGAGAAAUAGUUGAUUGUUUGAGAAAUUGAAAUUAUUAGAUUCUUGCAGUUUUGAAUUUCCCGCCAUGGUCUCUUGACAAUGAAUCCCAUUACCGGGCAGGGAUCCCCAAGAGGAUAAACAUUUAAAAGGUCAUCUUCAAUGGGGCAGGGAUGUCCCAAGGAUCCCGGACUCUUCUUCUUGUAACUUUCUGGCGGACUAGAUGCUUUCCGGCUUAAUGCUGCCAUCCACAGGUGUUGCAAGUGCCAUGCUCUACCAACUGAGCCACACAAAUAUCAGUAGGUUACUAAUAAAUAGAUCUUACCUCAGCUUCACCUCGCCCAAAACUUCAACGGACGGUAAGCAGGGCAACUCAUCCUCAUCUUUGCUAUAAUUGGGGCCCGUCUCCAUUUCUUCCUUCUCUAAUCCUCUGAUGGUGUGGUCAUCCUUUUAUGUGUUAUAAACAGACUGGUGCCUUGCAAUUGUGUGCUCUGCAAUUGUGUGCUUAUUGUAUUUAAAGGAGUAGUUAAAUAAUAUAACUGGGGUUCUGAGGGGCUAUCCAGCGACCUGCUAGGUCAG